Nematostella vectensis (starlet sea anemone) is the source of this 1134-nucleotide long non-coding RNA. RefSeq lists it as uncharacterized. The record is from RefSeq and is a predicted model, not a curated record. NCBI's taxonomy places the organism in Eukaryota, Metazoa, Cnidaria, Anthozoa, Actiniaria, Edwardsiidae. The transcript has 3 exons.
CAUGCGUGGCGAGCUCGUGCGUUUGACGGGGGACGCGUCCAGUGAGAACAUCACACUUGAGGCGGUGGGUGAGAUAAGAGUGAGAAAAUCCAGAGUGCCGUCCAACCGAGCCACCACUACCUGCGGACUUAAACACAGAUCUGACGACCGGAGCUCAGGCUCCAAAGCUAAGAGAUGACAUAGAAUGUAAGUACAGAUGAAGCAUUAGCAGAAAAGCGUCAAUUGAAGGCCUACCUCUACUGAGCCAUCACUGCACCCGGUAGCCAAAAUAUCACCACGGCAGUCCAGGCACCAAACAGAAGACGACGGUCCACAGGGUGGUGGUAUCUUGCUUUCAUCAACACCAUCUGUCUCCUCCUCCUUACAUGAGCCCUCUGACACAGAACUUUCCUCAUCACUAGACCAAGGCCAAGGACUAAUCCCUGGGGAACCCCUAUCUUGACAAUAUGGACUAAAGUCAAAACCCGAGGCAGCACUUGUGCUGGAGCCAAAGGAGCCGCUGUAGUUCCGCUUGAUGUCUGUGCUUUUGUGAGCACCGGAUACUGGAAUUCCCACAGGGUCCCCAAUAGGAUCACUAGGGUCUGGUUGCAUCUCUGGAUUUUCCUGUGUAUCAGCGUCUUGAGUCACCAGACUUUCAAAAUAACGGGCUGUUGUGAAAUGUUCGUCCCAGCCAAAAGGUCUCUUUGCCCCCCUUGAGCUAGGGCGCCGCCUUCGUCUGGGUCUGAUGGGGUUUCUCCUGGAUGAUAGGAUAAGACACAAUCAGUCAACGUAGUCUCGAAUUCAGUACAGCUACUUAUAAAUAUCCAGCUAGUUAUAAAUAUCAUAAAGAUCAAGACGAUGAUAAAAGAUAUAGACUUAAAAUCAAACUAGAACUGACUUUUGCAUUCCCUAGAUACUAUUUUUGGUUAUUAUUAGAUGUCGAAGUUCUGCCAGCUCUCUCUUGAGGGUUUUGCUGCACUAAACCUAAGAUGUUGGGAUUACAUUGUUGGCUUCAUCGUGUUCUGUUACAACUGUUCACCCAUAUUUGGAUUAGUAUAUAACGCAUGGUGGUAGGAAAAACUUUAGAAGUUGAGAGCCAAUGGUUUACAAGAACCCCCCCAACCGCUUUCUAAUAAAAAAAACUAUGACCAAAAA